This 26218-nucleotide long non-coding RNA is filed under the name Musa acuminata (dwarf banana). RNAcentral's name for it is "long non-coding RNA (MACU_LNC000771)". Lineage: Eukaryota; Viridiplantae; Streptophyta; Magnoliopsida; Zingiberales; Musaceae. The record is from RNAcentral.
CCUCCGGCCUCGCCGUCUUGCUUCUCCUGGUCCAAGGGUCGCCGCCAGGGCCCGUUGUUCAGUGCCGGUCCGGCAACACUAACUGCACCGUGACCAACGGCUAUGGAGCCUUUCCGGAUCGCAGCACCUGCCGCGUCGCCGCGGUCGCGUACCCUUCGACCGAAGAGGAGCUGCGGUUAGUUGUCUCCGACGCGACCGAGAAGCAGCAGCACAUGAAGGUGGUCACAAUGUACUCCCACAGCAUUCCCAAGCUGUCGUGCCCCGGCGGGCCGAGCGGCCAGGGCCUGGUCAUUAGCACCCAGCGCCUCGGCAGAUCGGUGAGCGUGGACAUGGCCACAUCGCGGAUGACAUUCGAGGCAGGGAUCACACUUAGGGCGCUCCUUGACGCGGCGGCCGCCCGUGGCCUGGCGCUAUCCCACUCGCCGUACUGGCAAGGGAUGACGCUCGGCGGGCUGCUGAGCACCGGCUCGCAUGGGAGCUCGGCGUUCGGGAAGGGCUCGGCGGUGCACGAAUAUGUGGUAGGGAUGAGGCUGGUAGUUCCAAGUCCGGUCCCGGUGAACGGAUACUACGCCAAGAUCGUUAAUCUUGGUGAGGAUGAUCCUGAUCUCUUGGCUGCCAAGGUUUCUCUCGGUGUUCUUGGAGUCAUUUCUCAGGUAUGUGUGUGGUGACCUACGUGUUGUUCUUUACACGAUUUGAGAUCCAUGUGAUAACUCAUCUUAGUUCUUCAUCGUGGUUCUUCCAACCACGUCAAGUACUUUCAGAAGCUGAGUGUACAUGACUUGCCACGUCUCGAUGCUAAUUAGGUGCAACUAUAUCUUUAAUUCUUCAUGAUAUAGUAGAGAUCAUCCUACUGUUAUUAGCAAGGCUGAAUACUUCCUAUCGUCAGCAAAAUGUCGAGACAGAAAAAAAAAACUUGUUUUCUAUCAAAUCACUUUACAAAGGAAGACUUGUUCUUUUCCUCGAAUCUAGAAAGUUACGUAAAUAAUAGGCUGUUGAUGAUCCCAGUGGACUUUACUUUUAAUCUUUCCUUCUUUUCUUGCUUUGCUUGUCUUCCUUGUUUCAAAAUGGGCUGAUGCAAACCUUUGAUCCGUUCUAAUGAUUCCAUGUACCUUCCCUCGUCGUUUAUCGUAACUACACAACAUAAUUGAGUGUUAUGGAAUAUAACCCACAUAGACAAAGAUCAGAGAAAAAGCAAACUUUGCAAAUAACAGCUACAGUGAUGUUGAUGAUGACUCUGUGUAAACGAGAGUGCCCCUUGUUGAUCUUGAUAGGAAGAAGGGAUAGAGUUAUCAAACAGUGGAAUAGUAAGACAAGCUUCAAUCUUCUAUAUUUUUCUCAAAAAAACUCUUUAUAAUUUCAAAAACUCUAUCUAUUUCAUGACCUAUGGGGUUUAUAUAGUCCCGAAAGAUAUAUUACAUUAAUUGUAUUCAAGAUAAAUAAUUUUUUUUCAAAAAAUUCGUUCAAAAAUCAAUAACCAUUUGGACUUAUUCUUCCAUAGACUUUAAUCUAUUUCUUCGUAAUGAAUCUUCUGCAAUGAAUAUUUCUUUUGAGGAAAUGAAUCUCUUUAUAACAUUUGAAAAAGUUUAAUUCCAGAAGAGACAGGCAGGUCCAUGCUGCCUUGCCUUGCAGAGCUUACGACCGGACCCGAUAAUUGCCUUAAAAGCCUCAGUAACAAUUAUUAGGUUGAAGGACGAUAGGGGAUGUCAGUAGUAGUAGUUCUUGUUUCAAUCUUGUUGCCGGAAUAGCUGAAAAGAGUUGACUUGCAAUACAUGUAAGCUUUUGUUCUGCUGCUUCGUUAUAGGUAACCUAAGAAUUACUUGAACCGAUCGCGCAGGUCACCCUCCAACUUGAGCCAAUGUUCAAGCGAUCCAUCACCAACAGGGUCGUAAGCGACGUUGGCUUCGAGCAAACCAUCUCCUCGUACGCUGUCACUACAUACUAUGGAGACAUCAGCUGGUAUCCGUCACAACGCAGAGUGGUGUACCGAGAUGAUAUCAAGGUCCCCAUCACCACCAAGGGAAAGGGUGUAAACGACUACUUAGGGUUCCGAGCGCAGCCCACACUUGUCGGAGCCUCUCUACGUGCUUCAGGUCUUAUAAAUUGAAGCUUUUAUUUUGCUUGUCAAACUUAAUGUAGUGUUCGAGCAGUAUUAUGCACACAUUUACGUCGACAUUUCGUCCGAGAUUUAUACUGAGAAGGCAUCUUAUGUUCUCUACCAUGUGUUUGUGUCAAUGACUGCAGAGGAACGAGUGGAGGCAACGGGAAAUGCGGAAGGCAAAUGUGUGCUGUUCAGAUUGCAAGUUGAUACUUUGAUUGCGACCGGCAUGGGCUUUAAGAACAAUGACGGCGGCUUGAUAGAAUUCACUGGCUAUCCGGUCAUUGGAAACCAAAGCGACAUGCAAUCCGCCGGUAGGUUCUCAAAUUAUCCGAGGAAUGUCUGCAUGUAUGAAUGAUAGCUCUUGAUGAUAAUGCUUCAUCACAAUAAUGACACAUGUAACGCCCGGAUUUAUUUACUCUGAGUCAUCUUCUUUCCAGGUUCUUGCCUAAGGAGUCCAGAAGACAACCUUCUUACAGCCUGUGGCUGGGACCCUCGUUUUGCGGGGUUCUUCUACCACCAAACCACGAUAAGCAUCCCCUUCACCACCAUCUCUGACUUCAUCGCCGACGUCAAGAAGCUCCGCGACGCCCAUCCCGACGCACUCUGCAGCACCGAGCUGUACUUGGGCUUCUUGAUCCGCUUCGUCCGCAACUCCACAGCUUAUCUUGGCAAAACCGACGACGUGGUGGCCAUUGACAUCACAUACUAUCGUUCCAAGGAUCCAAAACAGCCGCGACUAUAUGAGGAUGUGUUCGAGGAGAUCGAACAGAUGGCCUUGUUCAAGUACAACGGGCUGCCGCACUGGGGGAAGAACAGAAAUGUCGGCUUCCUCAAUGUCAAGAACAAGUUGGGGGCUAAGUUGGCCAAGUUUGUGAGUGUGAUGCAGAAGUAUGACAGCAAUGGAUUGUUCUCUUCAGACUGGACCGAUGCGGUGCUGGGACUGCGAGGGAAGGAAGUUGUGGUGCAGGGAGAUGGUUGUGCAAUGGAGGGGCUGUGCAUUUGCUCCACCGAUGACCACUGCGCUCCUAAACUAGGCUAUUAUUGUCGACCUGGGGAAGUCUAUGAGCAGGCUCGAGUUUGCCGGAAGAUAAAAUCCGUGGAAGCUGAUGGUUUGGCAUGGAGCGCAUGAUACCAUUCACAUUCAUUUGCUGUGAGGUUUAUUUCUGUGUCACUUCCUCUUCGAAUAAAGGAUGAAAUGUCAGUCAAUAAUUACUACAUAGUUUAUUAUUGUGAUAUUAAAGCAAGCGUCGAUAAAUGCAAUAUUGUAUGGGACGCAGAUUACAUUCCUCCCGAUUUAUCUGUACAACUCCAAGAUGACUUAUACAAGUCAUUCUAUAGAACUAUAAUGUCUUAAUAAAUUUUUUUUGGGAAAAAAAUUAGGACAUAAUUUCUCAUUAUUUUUCAUAGCAAGAUCCCAUUUUGAAGGAAACGAACGCUCUCCAGUAUCCUUUGCAUGAAAGGAACGAGGAAGCAAGAAAUAAUUGUGCCAUUCUUAACGCCAUCGUGUGGAGAGAGAUAGUAUGUUAACGCGAUAUUCUUCGCUAUCAUUUCUUAAAAUAAUAAUGAUGAUUAAUGAUAAUAACCUGCGACUCACGUAAAUGUUCUGAUUAAUUUUACAUUAAUUACGCUUGACCCACGUUUCGUGACACAAAUGAAAUGGUAGUUCACACCGAUUACAUUUCAAAUUUUUGACUCAAAGCUCGUCCUAUGGAUCGCGAGAAUAAACCAUAUGGUAAGAAGCUACAUAAAUAUGGAAAUCACAAAGGAGGGUGAUUACUGUAAUUAACCCUUCCUCGAUGCCCCCAACUCCAAGAAACUACUGCUCUCUCUAGGUAACUCUACGGCGCAGCAUCCAAUCUUAUGUUUUUUCCUUUCUCAUCCUCGCAGUAUAAUUUAGAGAUAGCAAGUGGUCGCACCAUGAUCGAGGGAAACAGCAGCGAGAGCAAGCUGAGCCAGUACAUCAGGCCCCCGACCGGGAGCUGCGGCAUGCCCCGGACUUGUACGAUAGCAGCAUGGCCGGGAUCGCCGGCAAGGCGCAGUGUGGCACCGUCAUCGCGCUGUCUUCGCGCCUAUGGCUUUGGGCUGUGCUCGCGGACGAGCAGCAGCGAGGAAGAGAUCAACGACCUCAUCGGCGCCGUUUGCAAGAGCAAGAUGCGGGCCAUCCCGGUGGAGGAUGGGACGCCGGUGCCGAGGAGCCACAGUGUGGCGACGUUGAGGAUAGACGAAGACAAGCCGUGUGACUUCGAGGACGACCUCACGGUGGCCCUGGGGCCAAGGAGCUGUGGCUACGAUGUUGCCACCGAGAGGAAGGUGGGCUUCUAAUAAGCUUCAAGUUAGCUUGUGCGGUGAUCUAACACGAACAGUAAACAUCCGAGCUUAUAUAUUGUACUGCUUUCGAGGGAGGAAAUAAGCAAUUCGUUGAGCCGUUGUCAUUCUUUGGGAACCAAAACUUAUUAGGAGAUAAAUCGAAUAGUAGAUAUUCGUCGCUUCUUUUAUGAAGCCUUGUUGUAUUUUACCUACUCACCACGUCUUGUGAUAAUCUCAUGUAAUAUCUACACAAAAUAACUAAGUUUUAGAUCGGGCAUGACAUCCUCAAGGAAUGAUUUUUUAAUAGACUACAGUGUUUAUUUAUGUGAGGAUUUGGCAUGCUUUUUUCAUCUUAAAAAAGGAAAUGUUAAAUUUCUAAGAAAAACCUCCUAACUUUAAGAAUUUAUCAAAUAACCCUCCAAUCUUGAGAAAUUUUUAUAGAGUAUUUCUUUUUCUUAAAUGAUCAUUCUACCCAUAUUGAUUGUCGCCUUUACCCUUGCAUUGUUAUUGCUGUGCUUGCCGGUGGCCUUCGCACAAGGAAGGAAGGGGUGCAAGAGUUGUCAUCUCCUUCCUGCACCACCUCCCCUCCCUUCUGCAUGCUGGACUUAUUGCUUACAGGCCUCACGCGAGGAAGGAGAAGGUACGAGGGCUAUUAUCACCUUUGCAGACCUCACUAACCCUACACUAACGCCUUGCUCACAACCCUCGCAUGAGAAAGGAGAGGACGUGAGGGCUGGGAUAGUAAUUCAAAUCCAAUCAAGGUCUAUUCCAAAUCAGUCACUAUUUGUAAUGCACUAAAUUUGUAAAACUAGGUUGAGGGGCAUUCUUGACAAAUAUUCCUUCAACGGCGAAUUGAAUUUUUAGGUUUGGACUAGUCGAUGAAGUGAAGUCAUAUCUUAGGAGUACAUGGGAGCCCUUUUUAUGAGUGAUACUAAGGAUGAUUAUUCCUAGAAUCACCGAUCGCAUAGGCCAGCCAUGUCAACCACGGGUUCAGAUGAUUGAUUAUCUGGUCAUGUAUCACCCCUUUAUGAGUAUAUGUCUUACGACCUGAUCAUCAUUUGUCUAUCGCGUGUGAUCCUCAUGCUCUUUGGCAAUCGAUCAGUUGGCUCAUUGGUCAUCGGCAAUGUUGUAUUUGACAUGUCACUUGUCACCUAUCACUUGCCCCCAACUUCUAGGUUGAUAGAUUGUAGGGCUAUCGAGUUAAGAAGUGCUCUAGCUUAUGCUUUUAACACUGAUAGUGGAUUUGUUCGUCAUCUUUUUGACAUAUGUCAUAGAAAUGCAUGUUCUGUCCGUUAAAGCUAUUCUAUCCAUUUAGUAUGUUUAACGCAUUCGGUUCAUUUAACCCGUUCUAUUCAUUAGUUGCUCUCCCUCUAACAUACAUUCCUUAAUAUAUCUUGGUUGCUCUCCCUCUAACAUAUCAGUAUAAAUUUUAGUUGUUUGAGUUGAGAUGAUAACUUAGAUCUAUCUGACGUUCAUUCCAAGUUAGUCUAACUCUAGAAAACCUACAAAUGCCCUAUCGUCGAUCAAGUCAGACUUGUCAGCCAAUACUAAAGUCAAGUCGGGUCCUGGAAGUGUACAUAAGAGUCUCUUUUAUUAGUAACUCUAAGAAUGGUUAUGUCUGGAAUCAUUGAUGGUAAGAGGGGAAUAUGUGCCACAUUCAAGCUGAGACUUGGCAUUCGUACAAGUAAAUGGUUGAUGUGAUCCGGGAGAGAGCAAGGCAUGUAAAUGAUUCAUAACAAGGGAACGUCUCUUACAAGUUCUCCAUUGACAGGUUCUUCCGACUUAGAAUUGGUCUAAUGUUUUCCGGCUUCUCCGUACCUCAGGAAAUGUUGGGUCUAGCCCAUACGUCAGCUUGGACUAGAUAAUUAAAUUUUUGAGCUCAAAUCAAUAAUUAAAAAAAAAAACUGCCUAUAGCGUUUUGACAAGCGAACGAUGGCGACGCACAGUCAAAUUAACAUAGAAAGAGAAAAGAGAAAAAAAAUAAGAUUUUGAGUUUUUCUUAGUUAACGAUCAGAGUCAAACUUGGAUCCAAAUUAUACAUGAAAAAUCUUUACAGUAGCCAGCUCUACAAUCCGCUGAUUUGUAGUUUACCCUUUAUGAGGUAUUUUCCAACUAUACUCAUUUUGUGAGACAAAAUUCUUUUUUUGAUGAGAUUCAUUCAUGUGAUGAUGAUAUACUAUUCUUGAGUCAAGAUAUGUGAUUUUGAUGUUAUUAUGGUUCUCUUGUUAUUUUAAAGAAGACUUAUUGUAAACCUAUAAUUAUUAUUAGUGAUAGUGGAAGCUUGAAGUGGACUACGAUCCCUAUUAUUAUUAUUAGUGAUAGUGGAAGCUUGAGGAGGACUACGGUACGUGGUUUUUUCCGCAUUAGGUUUUUCACGUUAAUAUUUGGUCUUACUUUGUGAUUGAUUCAUUGUUUUGUUAUUUAUGUUGUUCUGGUUUAUAUGUACUUUUGAUAUCAAGCUGGUUUUUGAUGAGAAACUUAUUUUAAUAGACAAAAAGAAAAAAAAUUAUUUUAUUUUAAUAGGUUUUUCCCAACAAGAAAUUGAGUGAAGAACUCUAUUUAACCGACUUCAAGUCGGCACGACCCUCUUCGCAUCCAAUGUUAGUGUAGCGCUAUGACCUAGGAAGAAGAAGAGGGAACAAGCUGAUGCGGUACAUCAAGGCCUCUCAUCGAGCACUGCUACGUGCCCGGGACUUGUACGUGAACAGCAUGGCUGGAUGCGCCAGAAGGGCCCAGGGCGAGCCGACGAUCAUCGCGAUGCCGCACGCCCAGAGCCACAUAUAUACACACACAAACGCGCACACACAAUAAAAGUAAUAUAAUUAUUGAUGCCCAUGCAAAAAGAUUUUAUAUCAUUUUUAUUUAAUUCGCUCACGUGGAUCAAUCGAGUUGUCCAUGUGUUAUUAUCCAUUAACUUGCUUUUAUCUAUUAUAUAAUAACGAUUGGAUCAUGAGCUGGCUUUCUCAUCUGCGUGCCAAUCCAAACGCUUCUAUACUGUGCCAUCGACGACUUCAAUAUCUUUGAUUUGCUCACAUCUCAAAGCCAAAAAAAAGGAAAAAUGAUGAGUACCUACAGUAUAUGACAAUUAGUUAGACCGAUUCUUCUAAAUUUUCUGAUCCCAUCGUGAGGCGUGCAUGACCAGCGUACUUUCCCCACUGUAUUUUACUCGACCAUCACUAACCUCACCGCUAUUAUAGAAAUAGUAUGUCAACACGAUCUUGGCUGUCAUCANNNNNNNNNNNNNNNNNNNNUUUUCUUACAAUAAUAAUAAUGAUAAGAACCUUGCGUCCCAAGUUGGCUCACGUGAUUGAAAUAAAUGACUCGAAUUGGGAACAAUACCCAUAUGCAGAUUCAUUGGGAUGGCAGAAUCUCUUGUUAAGUCAACGGGCUUUACCUCCCUUAUUUUAUAUGAAUUUUUUUCUGACACCUAAUAAUUUUGUAAACAGUGAUCAAGAUAUCGAAUUCACAUUCUCCUAUAUACACAUUACAUACCCAUAUGCAGACCAACUCUGGACAGUCAUCAUGGCCGCCACCUACUUUGCCCUAUUCGCCUCCGGCCUCGCCGUCUUGCUUCUACUAGUCCAAGGAUCGCCGCCAGGGCCCGUUGUCCAGUGCCGGUCCGGCAACACUAACUGCACCGUGACCAACGGCUAUGGAGCCUUUCCUGAUCGCAGCACCUGCUGCGUCGCCGCGGUCGCGUACCCUUCCACCGAACUGGAGCUCCUGUUAGCUGUCUCCGACGCCACCGAGAAGCAGCAGCACAUGAAGGCUGUCACGAUGUACUCCCACAGCAUCCCCAAGCUGUCGUGCCCCGGAGGGCCGAGCGGCCAGGGCCUGGUCAUUAGCACCCAGCGCCUCAACCGAUCGGUGAGCGUGGACAUGGCCACCUCGCGGAUGACGUUCGAAGCAGGGAUCACACUUAGGGAGCUCCUUGACGCGGCGGCCGCCCGUGGCCUGGCGCUACCCCACUCGCCGUACUGGCAAGGGAUGACGCUCGGCGGCCUGCUGAGCACCGGCUCCCAUGGGAGCUCGGUGUUCGGGAAGGGCUCGGCGGUGCACGAAUAUGUGGUAGGGAUGAGGCUGGUGGUUCCAAGUCCGGCCCCGGUGAACGGAUACUACGCCAAGAUCGUUAAUCUUGGUGAGGAUGAUCCUGAUCUCUUGGCUGCCAAGGUUUCUCUCGGUGUUCUUGGAGUCAUUUCUCAGGUAUGUGUGUGGUGACCUACGUGUUAUUCUUUGUUCUUUACACGGAUUGAGAUCCAUGUGAUAACUCAUCUUAGUUCUUCAUGGUGGUUCUUCCAACCACGUCAAGUACUUUCAUAAGCUGAGUGUACAAGAUUUGCCACGUUUCGAUGCUAAUUAGGUGCAACUAUAUCUUUAAUUCUUCAUGAUAUAAUAGAGAUCAUCCUACUGUUAUUAGCAACGCUGAAUACAUCCUAUCGUCAGUAAAAUGUCGAGACAGAAAAAAAAAACUUGAUUUCUAUCAAAUCACUUUACAAAGGAAGACUUGUUCUUUUCCUUGAAUCUAGAAAGUUACGUAAAUAAUAGGCUUUUGAUGAUCGCAGUGGACUUUACUUUUAAUCUUUCCUUCUUUUCUUGCUUUGCUUGUCUUCCUUGUUUCAAAAUGGGCUGAUGCAAACCUUUGAACCGUUCUAAUGAUUCCAUGUACCUUCCCUCGUCGUUUAUCGUAACUACACAACAUACUUGAGUGUUAUGGAACAUAUGAGCACAUGCAAACCCACAGAGACAAAGAUCAGAGAAAAAGCAACCAUUGCAAUAACAGCUACAGUGACGUUGAUGAUGACUCGGUGUAAAUGAGAGUGCCCCUUCCUUCACAUAUGGAGCCUCGAGCAGGGCAAGAGGCAGGCAGGUCCAUGCUGCCUUGCCUUGCAGAGCUUACGACCGGGCCCACUAAUUGCCUUAAAAGCCUCAGUAACAAUUAUUAGGUUGAAGGACGAUAGGGGAUGUCAGUAGUUGUAGUUCUUGUUUCAAUCUUUUUGCCUGAAUAGCUGAAAAGAGUUGACUAGCGAUACAUGUAAGCUUUUGUUCUUCUGCUUCAUUAUAAGUAACCUAAGAAUUACUUGAACCGAUCGAGCAGGUCACCCUCCAACUUGAGCCAAUGUUCAAGCGAUCCAUCACCAACAGGGUCGUAAGCGACGUUGGCUUCGAGCAAACCAUCUCCUCGUACGCUGUCACUACAUACUAUGGAGACAUCAGCUGGUAUCCGUCACAACGCAGAGUGGUGUACCGAGAUGAUAUCAAGGUCCCCAUCACCACCGAAGGAAAGGGUGUAAACGACUACUUAGGGUUCCGAGCGCAGCCCACCCACGUCGGAGCCUCUCUACGUGCUUCAGGUCUUAUAAAUUGCAGCUUUUAUUUUGCUUGUCAAACUUAAUGUAGUGUUCGAGCAGUAUUAUGCACACAUUUACAUCGACAUUUCGUCCGAGAUUUGUACUAAGAAGGCUUCUUUUGUCCUCUACCAUGUGUUUGUGUCUGUGAAUGCAGAGGAACGAGUGGAGGCAACGGGAAAUGCGGAAGGCAAAUGUGUGCUGUUCAGAUUGCAAGUUGAUACUUUGAUUGCGACCGGCAUGGGCCUUAAGAACAAUGACGGCGGCUUGUUAGAAUUCACCGGCUAUCCGGUCGUUGGAAACCAAAGCGACAUGCAAUCCUCCGGUAGGUCCUCCAAUUAUCCGAAGAAUGUAUAUGAUGACACAUGUUACACCUGUAUUAUAUAUUAUAUGGUCUGAGCCAAAUUCACUCCUGUAUUCUGUAUUAGUCUGAACCAUCUUCUCUCCAGGUUCGUGCCUAAGAAGUGCAGAAGACAACCUUCUCACGGCCUGUGGAUGGGACCCUCGCUUUGCUGGGUCCUUCUACCACGAAACCGCGAUAAGUAUCCCCUUCACCACCGUUGCAGACUUCAUCGCCGACGUCAAGAAGCUCCGCGACGCCCACCCCAACUCGCUCUGCGGCACCGAGCUGUCCUUGGGCUUCUUCAUUCGCUUCCUCCGCAACUCCACGGCCUAUCUUGGCAAAACGGACGACGUGGUGGAGAUCGACAUCACAUACUACCGUUCCAGGGAUCCAAAACGGCCGCGACUCUAUGAGGAUGUGCUCGAGGAGAUCGAACAGAUGGCCUUGUUCAAGUACAAUGGGCUGCCGCACUGGGGGAAGAACAGAAAUGUCGGCUUCCUCAAUGUCAAGAACAAGCUGGGGGCUAAGUUGGCCAAGUUUGUGAGUGUGAUGCAGAAGUAUGACAGCAAUGGAUUGUUCUCUUCAGACUGGACCGAUGCGGUGCUGGGACUGCGAGGGAAGGAAGUUGUGGUGCAGGGAGAUGGAUGUGCACUGGAGGGGCUGUGCAUUUGCUCCACUGACGACCACUGCGCUCCUAAACUAGGCUAUUUUUGUCGACCUGGAGAAGUCUAUGAACAGGCUCGAGUUUGCCGGAAGAUAAAAUCCGUGGAAGCUGAUGGUUUGGCAUGGAGCGCAUGAUACCAUUCACAUUCAUUUGCUGUGCGGUUUAUUUCUGUGUCACUUCCUCUUCGAAUAAAGGUUGUAAUGUCAGUCAAUAAUUACUACAUAGUUUAAUGAUGAUUAAUGAUAAUAACCUGCGACACACGUAAAUGUUCUGAUUAAUUUUACAUAAAUUACACUUGACCCACGUUUCGUGACACAAAUGACAUGGUAGUUCACACCGAAACUACUGCUCUCUAUAAAUUACUCAACGGCGCAGCAUCCAAUCUUCUGUUUGUUCCUUUCUCAUCCUCGCAGUAUAAUUUGGAGAUAGGAAGUGGUCGCACCAUGAGCGAGGGAAACAGCAGCGAGAGCAAGCUGACCCCGUACAUCAGGCCCCCGACCGGGCCGCUGUGGCAUGCCCGGGACUUGUACGAGAGCAGCAAGGCGCAGAGUGGCACCGUCAUCGCGCUGUCUCGCGCCUAUGGCUUUGGGCAGUGCUCGCGGACGAGCAGCAGCGAGGAAGAGAUCAACGACCUCAUCGGCGCCGCUUGCAAGAGCAUGAUGCGGGCCAUCCUGGUGAAGGAGGAUGGGCUGGUGCCAAGGAGCCACCGAGUGGCGACGUUGAGGAUAGACGAUGACAAGCCGUGUGACUUCGAGGACGACCAAGAGGAACGAUGCCAAGGAGCUGUAGCUACGAUGUUGCCACCAAGAGGAACGUGGGCUUCUAAUAAGCUUCAAGUUAGAUUGUGCGGUGAUCAACACGAACAGUAAACAUCCGAGCUUAUAUAUUGUACUGCUUUCGAGGGAGGAAAUAAGCAUUUCGUUGAGCCGUUGUCAUUCUUUUGGAACCAAAACUUAUUAGGAGAGAAAUCGAAUAGUGAAUACAGAAGAAGAUAUUCUUCACUUCUUUUGUGAAGCUUUGUUGUAUUUUACCUACUCACCAUGUAUUUUACACAAAAUAACUAGUUUUAGAUCGGGCAUGACAUCCUGAAGGAAUGAUUGUUUAAUAGACUACAAUGUUUAUUUAUGCGAGGAUUUGGCAUGCUUUUCUCAUCUUAAAAAAAGGAAAUGUUAAAUUUCUAAAAAAAGACCUCCUAACUUUAAAUUAUCAAAUAACGCUCUGAGAAAUUUUUUUAGAGUAUUUUUUUCUUAAACAAUCAUUCUAUCCAUUGUCAACUCUAUCCAUGCAUUGUUAUUAUUGUAUUUACAUGUGGCCCUCGCAUAAGGAAGGAAGGGGUGCAAGAGUUGUCACCUCCUUCCUGCACCACCUCUCCUCCUCUUGUCAUGCUGGAUUUGUUACUUAUAGGCCUCACUCGAGGAAAGAGAGGGUACGAGAGCCAUUGCCACUUAUGCGGACCCCACCAACUCUAUCCUAGCGCCUCGAUCACAACUUUCAUAUGAGAAAGGAGGGGACGUGAGGGCCGUCAUCGUUUCUGUGGACCUUACUAGCCCUAGGACCUUGCUAGACUCUAUUGGACUUGUUGCCCGUAGCCCUUACACAAGGAAAGAAGGGUUGUGAGGGUCGACGCCACCACCAUCUUCACAGACCACUACGACCCUGCUUAUAUGCACUUCACUCGUAACCCUUGUGCAAGGAAGAAGGUGGCACAUGUGCUAUCGUUGCCUUUGUGGAACCUAUUAGUCUCCGUCAAACCUGUUGUCACUCUGCACCACCCCCCCUUUCCUCGCACGAGGGCCAUAGUGUGCAAGGGUUGUGAGUGACAGAUUAUAUGAAGUAGAGGAGAGGAUAGGUAGUGCAUGGAGUAAGGGCACAAGUGAUUAUAGAGGGAGGAGGAGAUAACUAUAGGUCUAAUAGAAAUAGAGAUAAAAUAAUAUUUUUAUAUAAUCAAGAUACUCUAUGAAUUUCUUAAAGUUAAAAGGCUCUGUAAAAAAUUCAUAAUGUUAAAUCUAAAAAAAAAAUAAGGAUUUGACGUGCGUCCGACAAGCCUCCUUCCUGGAGAGGAUCAACACACAGCUAGUUAGUAGGGGAUUCAGUAACUUUCCUUUUUUUUUCCCUUUAAAAAUAUGAAGUUUCAUAACUUAUCAAAAAGAGGUCCAAAUUGUACAUUUAUACCAAUAAAUUUGAAUACUACAAGUUUUUCUCUUGCAACUAAUACACACACAUAUACUACAGUUUUGCCCCAUACAAAUCGAAUAACAAUGAGUAUAGUUUUGACCCUUCCAUGUAUAGAAAUUAAAUAAAAAUUAGUUUGAUUCAAUUCAAAGAGUUAAGUUUCUAUAUUGUGGACCAAAUUAAGUAUAUAUAAUCAGACUCUUUUAAUUCUUAAUUAUACUAGAUUAUCCUCUUAGUUUAUUUUAUUUCAAUUUAGACAUGAAUAUUUUCAUUACAAUGUGAAUAAUAAAAAUAUCUUAAAAGUGAAGUCAUAUUUGGUUCUUUAUUAGACCUUACUUUUCAACUUUUGUAACGAUCCAACCAAUGACCUCAUUAUUGGCCAUGAAUGAAAUCUUGAAUUCUAAUUUUUAAGUAAAAUGUAACUUAUGAUAUUUUAGAUUAAUACAAGUUAACAAUUAUUAACUAUCAUUAGUUAUGAUUGAUUAAAAAUUGAAAUGUAGUAAUAGAAUAUGAUAUUACAAAAUGUUCACAUCAUAUUUCUUUCUUAAAAAAUAAUCUUGUUUAUACCAAACUCGAAUUCAAAAUCUCAUCUGAUAUAUUUUGAAGAUAUCAUCUAAUUUAGUUGGUGUUAGUGUAGAUUUUGAUUAUAUGAGCUAGGAUAAUUCUUCAAAUUGAAUCAAAGUCUAUUCCAAACCAAUCUCACUUCACAUCACUAUUAAUAAAGCACCAAACUUGUAAAACUAGGUCAAGAGGUAUUCUUGACAAAUAUUCCUUCAAUAAUCAAUUGAAUUCUUAGGUUUGGACUGGCUGAUGAAUAUUGAAGUGAAAUCAUAUCUUAAGAGUACAUGAGAGUCCUUUUUAUGGGUGAUACUAAGGAUGAUUAUUCCUAGAAUCACCGAUCACUUAGGCUAGUCGAUCACGAGUUCAAAUUAUCUAUCAUUUGGCCACAUAUCACCCCUUUAUGAGUAUAUAUCUUACUACCUGACCAUCAUCUGUCAAACGCGUGUGAUCCCCAUGCUCUUUGAUAAUCGACCCAUUGGCUUCUUGGCCACGUGUCGCAUUGUGGCAAUGUUGUAUUUGACAUGUCACUUGUCACCUAUCACUAGCCCCCCAUUUCUAAGUUGAUAGAUUAUAGGGCUAUAGAGCUAAGAAGUGCUCUGGCCUAUGAUUUUUACACUGAUAGCGAGUUUGUUCAUCAUCGUUUUGACAUAUGUCAUUGGAAUGCAUGUUGUGUCCAUUAAAGCUAUUCUAUCCAUUCAGUGUGUUUGACGCAUUCAGUCCAUUUGACCCAUUCCGUUGGUUAGGGUCGUUCAGCUCGUUCAAUCAAUUUGACAUGUUAGGCUUUUUAGGAUUUAACCUAGAUGGUACCACGAAGUUUUCUUAAGAUAUCUUAGUUGCCCUCUCUCUAACGCUAAUAUAUUAGUAUAAAUUUUAAUUGUCUGAAUUGAGAUGAUAACUUAGAUCCAACUGAGAUUCAUUGCAAGUUAGUCUUACUCUAGGAAACCUACAAAUGCCCCAUCGUAGAUCAAGUCAGACUUGUUGGCCAAUAAUAAAGUCAAGUUGGAUCCUCGAAGUGUACCUAGAGUCCCUUUUAUUAGUAACUCUGAGAAUGAUUAUGUCCGGAAUCAUUGAUGGUAAGAGAGGAAUAUGUGCCACAUUCAGACUGAGACUUGGCAUGAUAUUCAUCGAACCUUGUGUUCACAUAGGUUGGUUGUGCUAAUCAUGGGUUUGGACGAUCGACUAUUCAUCCACGUAUUAUCUCAUGCUGAGUGUGCAUCUCAUGAUUCCAUCAUCACCUAUCUAUCACAUAUGAUCCUCAUGCUCUUUGGUUGUCAACCUUGUGGCCAUGUGUCACUACACGGUGAUGUUAUAUUCGAUAUAUUACUCUUUAUGCUGAAAAAAAAUUUGAUAGUUGAUCACUAGACUCAAAAUUCUACAUUCGUUAGUGGUGCGUUGGCCAUGUCUCGCCGCAUGAUAGUGUUAUAUUCAAUGUCACACCCUUCACCUGUCAGAUAAAGACUUUAAUAGUUCCUCCCAAAAUUUUAGACUUAAAUUCCACAUUAAUCACUUAUUCUCAAAAAAAAAAUCUGGUUAAGAUCGCAACCACUGCUUCGGUUACAAUUAUCCCUUCUAUUUUUAUAACAGAACAAAUAGGGUAAACAGUGUGCGAGUCGAUCAGUCGGUGGACUGCCUUCAUUCCACCGACUUACACCAUCAUGAGAUCCUCUUAAUUUUCAAAUUAUAAUAAUUAUAAUUUAAAAAAUAUGAAUAACAUUAAAUAAAAAUAAACAAAAAAAUCAGCCAUAACGCGUAAAGGUCAAAGUCAAAGUACCCAUGACCCAUGGACUGGGACACGUGGAGGCAAGAAAGCAUCACAACAGACUCGAGAACGAGCCCACUCGAUUGGACCAUUCAGGGCGGGAUUAAUUGAAAGAAACAACGAGCGAGACAGUCAGCAGGUCCACUAAACUGGAAGCAUUCUUCAUGCUUUGAAAUCAAAACAUGAGUCUAACAUGAUCAACCAAAUUGGACUCAACACUUGUGAUCGAGAAGAAUAGGGUGCCGCCAUGUUCGUACAAGUAAAUGGUUGAUGUGAUCCGGGAGAGAGCAAGGCAUAUAAAUGCUUCAUAACAAGGGAACGUCUCUUACAAGUUCUCCAUUGACAGGUUCUCUUCCUGCUUAGAAUUGGUCCAAUGUUUUCCGGCUUCCACAUACCUCAGGAAAUUGAGUAAAGAACUCUAUUUAAGCGACUUCAAGUCGGCACGACUCUCUUCGCAUCCAAUGUUAAUGUAGCGCUAUGAGCAAGGGAAGCAGAAGAGGGAACAAGCUGAUGCGGUACAUCAAGGCCCCUUAUCGAGCACUGCUUCGUGCCCGGGACUUGUACGUGAACAGCAUGGCCGGAUGCGCCGGCAGGGCCCAGCGCGGGCCGACGAUCAUCGCGAUGCCACGCGCCCAGAGCCGCAGCUUCCACCGCCCGCAAAUGAGCAGCGGCGAGGACGACAUCAACGAGCUCAUCCGCGCUGCGUCGAGGAGCAGGCUGCGGUCCGUCGAGGGAGCGGCGGUUCCGAGGAGUCACAGCGUGGCGGGGAUGACGAUUGACGAGGACAAGCCAUGCAACUUUGAGGGCGACGUCAAGGUGGCCUUGGGCCCGAGGAGCCGGAGCUGCGACGUCGUCUCCAAGAGGAGGGCGGGGUUUACAACAAACGCCGUAAGCAGCAUCCGAAGCUUCUAAUACCAAGAGUGGAAGCACCAAAUGCAGCAAUUCCAUGUCGUUGUGGUUUCUAUUACUCGUGUUCGUGAACUCGAUUCGAUACUUUCUCUCCUCUUCUUCUCCUGUCAUGUUUCUGUUCACUCGUGAAUGUUUGGGCUGCCUGCUUACCUCAUUCCAUCUACACGAACGGAAUGUUCAUAUGGCAUCUCGGUAUCAUUUCCCUCAAAAUUUGAGCCUACAUUUGAAGCAUUUUCAUUAUAUAUAUAUAUAUAUAUAUAUAUAUAUAUAUAUAUAUAUAUAUAUAUAUAUAUAUANNNNNNNNNNNNNNNNNNNNNNNNNNNNNNNNNNNNNNNNNNNNNNNNNNNNNNNNNNNNNNNNNNNNNNNNNNNNNNNNNNNNNNNNNNNNNNNNNNNNNNNNNNNNNNNNNNNNNNNNNNNNNNNNNNNNNNNNNNNNNNNNNNNNNNNNNNNNNNNNNNNNNNNNNNNNNNNNNNNNNNNNNNNNNNNNNNNNNNNNNNNNNNNNNNNNNNNNNNNNNNNNNNNNNNNNNNNNNNNNNNNNNNNNNNNNNNNNNNNNNNNNNNNNNNNNNNNNNNNNNNNNNNNNNNNNNNNNNNNNNNNNNNNNNNNNNNNNNNNNNNNNNNNNNNNNNNNNNNNNNNNNNNNNNNNNNNNNNNNNNNNNNNNNNNNNNNNNNNNNNNNNNNNNNNNNNNNNNNNNNNNNNNNNNNNNNNNNNNNNNNNNNNNNNNNNNNNNNNNNNNNNNNNNNNNNNNNNNNNNNNNNNNNNNNNNNNNNNNNNNNNNNNNNNNNNNNNNNNNNNNNNNNNNNNNNNNNNNNNNNNNNNNNNNNNNNNNNNNNNNNNNNNNNNNNNNNNNNNNNNNNNNNNNNNNNNNNNNNNNNUUUCCUUACAAUAAUAAUAAUGAUAAGAACCUUGCGUCCCAAGUAGGCUCACGUGAUUGACAUAAAUGACUCAAAUUGGGAACGGAUGAAAACUCCUCCUAUUGCAUGUUCAUGAAUCAGAUAUGGAUGAUAUGGCACCACUUUUCCAUUGCCGUCCCACGCACAUCAUCCACGGUUUCCACAGAGACUGGUAGAAGUAAAAUUGCCAACUCAUCUACCUCCCUCUAUCAAUAUAUAUUAUCUAAUCACGUUCUUGCAUCACGUGUUCUGCGACCAUCAACCGGAGACUUUGACAAUUAUGAACCAUUCCAACACGUCUAAAUACACGUAAGAUUCAUCGGGAUGGCAUAAUCUCUUGUUAAGUCAACGGGCUUUACCUCCCUUCUUUUAUAUGAAUUUUUUUCUGACUACUAAUUAUUAUGUAAAUAGUGAUCAAGAUAUCGAAUGCACCUAUAUAUACAUUACAUACCCAUACCCAGACCAACUCUGAACAGCCAUCAUGGCCGCCACCCACAUUGCCCUGUUCGCAUCCGGCCUCGCCGUCUUGCUUCUCCUAGUCCAAGGAUCGCCGCCAGGGCCCGUUGUCCGGUGCCGGUCCGGCAACACUAACUGCACCGUGACCAACGGCUAUGGAGCCUUUCCUGAUCGCAGCACCUGCCGCGUCGCCGCGGUCGCGUACCCUUCGACCGAACAGGAGCUCCUGUUAGCUGUCUCCGACGCCACCGAGAAGCAGCAGCACAUGAAGGCUGUCACGAUGUACUCCCACAGCAUCCCCAAGCUGUCGUGCCCCGGCGGGCCGAGCGGCCAGGGCCUGGUCAUUAGCACCCAGCUCCUCAACAGAUCGGUGAGCGUGGACAUGGCCACCUCGCGGAUGACGUUCGAGGCAGGGAUCACACUUAGGGCGCUCCUUGACGCGGCGGCCGCCCGUGGCCUGGCGCUACCCCACUCGCCGUACUGGCAAGGGAUCACGCUCGGCGGGCUGCUGAGCACCGGUUCGCAUGGGAGCUCGGUGUUCGGGAAGGGCUCGGCGGUGCACGAAUAUGUGGUAGGGAUGAGGCUGGUGGUUCCAAGUCCGGUACCGGUGAACGGGUACUACGCCAAGAUCGUUAAUCUUGGUGAGGAUAAUCCUGAUCUCUUGGCUGCCAAGGUUUCUCUCGGUGUUCUUGGAGUCAUUUCUCAGGUAUGUGUGUGGUGACCUACGUGUUGUUCUUUGUUCUUUACACGGUUUGAGAUCCAUGUGAUAACUCAUCUUAGUUCUUCAUGGUGGUUCUUCCAACCACGUCAAGUGCUUUCAUAAGCUGAGUACAUGACUCGCCACGUCUCGAUGCUAAUUAGGUGCAACUAUAUCUUUAAUUCUUCAUGAUAUAAUAGAGAUCAUCCUACUGUUAUUAGCAACGCUGAAUACAUCCUAUCGUCAGCAAAAUGUCGAGACAGAAAAAAAGAACUUGUUUUCUAUCAAAUCACUUUACAAAGGAAGACUUGUUCUUUUCCUCGAAUCUAGAAAGUUACGUAAAUAAUAGGCUGUUGAUGAUCCCAGUGGACUUUACUUUUAAUCUUUCCUUCUUUUCUUGCUUUGCUUGUCUUCCUUGUUUCAAAAAGGGCUGAUGCAAACCGUUGAACCGUUCUAAUGAUUCCAUGUACCUUCCCUCGUCGUUUAUCGUAACUACACAACAUAAUUGAGUGUUAUGGAACAUAUGAGCACAUGCAAACCCACAUAGACAAAGAUCAGAGAAAAAGCAAACUUUGCAAUAACAGCUACAGUGACGUUGAUGAUGACUCGGGGUAAAUGAGAGUGCCCCUUCCUUCACAUAUGGAGCCUCGCGCAAGGCAAGAGGCAGGCAGGUCCAUGCUGCCUUGCCUUGCAGAGCUUACGACCGGGCCCGCUAAUUGCCUUAAAAGCCUCAGUAACAAUUAUUAGGUUGAAGGACGAUAGGGGAUGUCAGUAGUAGUAGUUCUUGUUUCAGUCUUAUUGCCUGAAUAGCUGAAAAGAGUUGACUUGCAAUACAUGUAAGCUUUUGUUCUUCUGCUUCAUUAUAAGUAACCUAAGAAUUACUUGAACCGAUCGCGCAGGUCACCCUCCAACUUGAGCCAAUGUUCAAGCGAUCCAUCACCAACAGGGUCGUAAGCGACGUUGGCUUCGAGCAAACCAUCUCCUCGUACGCUGCCGCUACAUACUAUGGGGACAUCAGCUGGUAUCCGUCACAACGCAGAGUGGUGUACCGAGAUGAUAUCAAGGUCCCCAUCACCACCAAAGGAAAGGGUGUCAACGACUACUUAGGGUUCCGAGCUCAGCCCACCCUUGUCGUAGCCUCUCUACGUGCUUCAGGUCUUAUAAAUUGCAGUUUUUAUUUUGCUUGUCAAUCUUGAUGUAGUGUUCGAGAAGUAUUGUGAACACAUUUACAUCGACAUUUCGUCCGAGAUUUAUACUAAGAAGGCAUCUUUUGUCCUCUACCAUGUGUUUGUGUCAAUGACUGCAGAGGAACUAUUGGAAGCAACGGGAAAUGCGGAAGGCAAAUGUGUGCUGUUCAGAUUGCAAGUAGAUACUUUGAUUGCGAUCGGCAUGGGCUUUAAGAACAAUGACGGCGGCUUGUUAGAAUUCACUGGCUAUCCGGUCAUUGGAAACCAAAGCGACAUGCAAUCCGCUGGUAGGUUCUCAAAUUAUCCGAGGAAUGUCUGCAUGUAUGAAUGAUAACUCUUGACGAUAAUGCUUCAUCACAAUAAUGACACAUGUAAUGCCCGGAUUUAUUUAGUUUGAGUCAUCUUCUCUCCAGGUUCAUGCCUAAGGAGUGCAGAAGACAACCUUCUUACAGCCUGUGGCUGGGACCCUCGUUUUGCGGGGCUCUUCUACCACCAAACCACGAUAAGCAUCCCCUUCACCACCAUCGCUGGCUUCAUCGCCGACGUCAAGAAGCUCCGCGACGCCCAUCCCGACGCACUCUGCAGCACCGAGCUGUACUUGGGCUUCUUCAUGCGCUUCGUCCGCAACUCCACAGCUUAUCUUGGCAAAACCGACGACGUGGUGGACAUCGACAUCACAUACUAUCGUUCCAAGGAUCCAAAAAAGCCGCGACUCUACGAGGAUGUGCUCGAGGAGAUCGAACAGAUGGCCUUGUUCAAGUACAAUGCGCUGCCGCACUGGGGGAAGAAUAGAAAUGUCGGCUUCCUCAAUGUCAAGAACAAGCUGGGGGCUAAGUUGGACAAGUUUGUGAGUGUGAUGCAGAAGUAUGACAGCAAUGGAUUGUUCUCUUCAGACUGGACCGAUGCGGUACUGGGACUGCGAGGGAAGGAAGUUGUGGUGCAGGGUGAUGGUUGUGCACUGGAGGGGCUGUGCAUUUGCUCCACUGAUGACCACUGCGCUCCUAAACAAGGCUAUUAUUGUCGACCUGGAGAAGUCUACGAACAGGCUCGAGUGUGCAGGAAGAUUAAAUCCGUGGAAGCUGAUGGUUAGGUUUAUUUCUGUGUCGCUUCCUCUUCGAAUAAAGGAUGUAAUGUCAGUCAAUAAUUACUACAUAGUUUAUUAUUGUAAUAUUAAAGCAAGCGUCGAUAAAUGCAAUAUUGUAUGGGAGGCAGAUUGCAUUCCUCCUGAUUUAUCUGUGCAACUCCAAGAUGACUUAUGCAAGUCAUUCUAUAGAACUAUAAUGUGUUAAUAAAUUUCUUUUGGGCAAAAAAAUUAGGACAUAAUUUCUCAUUGUUUUUAAUUGCAAGAUCCCAUUGUGAAGGAAAGGAACACUCUCCAGUAUCCGUUGCAUGAAAGGGACGAGGAAGCAAGAAAUAACAGUGCCAUUAUUAAUGCCAUCGUGUGGAGAGACGUAGUAUGUUAACGCGAUAUUCUUCGCUAUCAUUCCUUAAAAUAAGAAUGAUGAUUAAUGAUAAUAACCUGCGACUCACGUAAACGUUCUGAUUAAUUUUACAUUAAUCACACUUGAACCACGUUUCGUGACACAAAUGACAUGGUAGUUCACACCGGUUGCAUUUCAAAUUUUUGACUCAAAGCUCGUCCUAUGGAUCGCGAGAAUAAACCAUAUGGUAAGAAGCUACGUAAAUAUGGAAAUCACAAAGAAUGGUGAUUACUGUAAUUAAGCCUUCCUCGAUCCCCCCCAACCCCAAGAAACUACUGCUCUCUCUAAAUAACUCUACGGCGCAGCAUCCAAUCUCCUUUUUGUUCCUUUCUCAUCCUCGUAAUAUAAUUUAGAGAUAGGAAGUGGUCGCGCCAUGAGCAAGGGAAACAGCAGCGAGAGCAAGCUGAGCCAGUGCAUCAAGGCCCCCGACCUGGCUCUGCGACAUACCCGGGACUUGUGCGAGAGCAGCAUGGCCGGGACUGAUAAUAUAUGUAUACACGAUAAUCUCAUGUAAGCUCGUUCAUCUACACCAAAUACUAGUUUUAGAUCGGGCAUGACAUCCUGAAGGAAUGAUUGUUUAAUUGACGACAGUGUUUAUUUACGUGUGGAUUUGACGUGCUUGUUUCCAUCUUUAAAAAGGAAAAUUCAAAUUCUUUUAAAAAAAAACUGUCAACUUAAUUUUUCAAAUAGCUCUUCAAAAAAUUCUCAUUGAGUAUUUUUUUUUUUCAAAAAGACUAUUCUAUAUCAAUCGGUCAUCGCCUCCGCCUCGUAUCACUUCUGAACACGUAUCAGAGUAUUUUUUUCAAAAAGUUUCUUCUAAGCGUGAGACAAUGUAUCACUUCUGAACACGUAUCAGAGUAAAUCCAGGCCAUUGCAGUUUGCAACUUCUUCUUUCUUUUCCUGAUCCAAUUCUUACAGUUGUUGGUGAUCAUCCGCAAUUUCUUCCCAGUAUAUGUUCCCCUUGUAGCUCAAGCAAUAUCCGAAGGUAACUUUAGCUAUAAAUUUCGUUUGGUUUGGAAGUUCAAGAAAAAAUAGUCACUCUUAUGUCCAAAGUUAUUGACAGAAAUGAGGUGGUCUCAUUAACUAUGCUUUGAUACUAUGGACUACGGUCAAGAAUUUGAAGCUGUCUGGCAACAUUUACAAGUGAGAAUGGAACGGAUAAAUGAAAUCAAAAGUACCCAUUUGGACUGCACAAGAAAAACCUUUAUGACUGACGUUUUGAACUGUUCAUAUGAGGUAGUCACUGUUAACUCACAUCCACGUUCAAGAAAAGGAUGUGCUACAGUCUCCUAGCGGUGGCAAUUCCAUGAUUGUCCACCGAGGAUGCUUAUUAUUCUUAUUCGCAAGCAGUUCGUCUGAGAAAUUAACUCAGAAGCCUCGUAUUGUGCUUCUGCUCAACCAAAGAAAGAGAUCAGAAGUGGAGAUAGAAGAUCCAUGGAGCAGGACGAUCCCAAUUACCUCUUCCAGGCCUAAAUUGUAGAGUAAGUUGAUCUCUGUCAUAACCAAGUCUUGGCAGCGAUCUCCAAAGAGUUCCAUGCAUCUCGGCCAUGUAGUCGGCAACGAAGCGACGUGAUGGCAUUGAAUUCAGUGUACUCUCUGUGCAGUCACCUUACUCGGCAUCCAUGCAACCGUUCUUCCUUUAUUUUCAAAGAUAAUGAUUACUGAUUUCUUCGAGGGGAAGUGCUUCUAAAUGUGCUCGUGCAAUUGAUUCUCUUCUCAAUCGAUCUUGAUGUGCCAUGCGAUCAAACUCACAUUACGGUGUUCGUGAACAGACGUUGAAGAUCAUGGAAGGAGUAUUUUGUUUGCUGUGAUUGUGUGGAGAGAAACACACGAGGCAAGGGAAGUCCCUGUGUAGUCGGAGAAGGCAACGGAUGGCUUGGCUUUUUCUUCCCUGUAAAGGUGGAAGACGAGAUGGCCAGAUGAUCUAAUAUUAUAUUGCAGUGUUGCGUCUGUCCGUGGUUGUAGGAGUGUCCUACAAAAACAAUAACAGCUUGUUACUAAGACAUGUUCUAUAAACAAUCAAAACAAUUAAAUAUUACACGCAUUAUAUUAAGACCAGCAGAAAAUGUCUUACGUGAUUAAGUAAUUUAGUAUCUGAUAUGGGACUGACAUAUAAAUCAAAUUCUUUUAAAGUAGAAGAAUCUGAAAUAUUUUUUCUUUGUUUUUCUCAAAUAACCUAUUCAAUCUUAUUUCAUAUGCGAACCCAUUAGUUCAUCAAAUAAAAAUAUAGAUAAAUCUUUUGACUCUUAUAACAAUAUGAUCAAAUUUCGGAGUUAAACUUUUCAAAACUUUUAUAACAAUUAUAUGAUAAGGAAGAUGUACACCAUAAAAUUUUAUUUAACUAACAAUAUCAAUCACUUGUGAAAGAAAAUCUUACAUCGAUUCAUUAUUUUUCAUGAAUAAAUUUUAAAUUCACCACGAAGGGUUUAAAGUUUUACUGUAAUCACCCUUGUUGAGCCUUGAAAUUCAUUUUGAAGUAUCAAUCAAACUUGCUUUAAGGUUAUUGCUAUUGUAAUUCUUGAGAAAAUUAUUUCAUGUAUAGCUUGUUGAAUGAACAACAAUGCCUUUGAGUUCUUAUUUCUAUUCUUCCUCAGCCUGAUUUUUUUAUGUAGACCUACAUAUCCAUUCUCUAUUAAGUCCCAAAGAUCUUGAGACUUGAAUAAAAUAUUUAUCUUGAUACUCUAAAAUUCAUAGCAUUUGUCCGAGAAGAUGGAAAUAAGGGGUUGAGACAUAAAAUUAUUAUUAAAAGUCAUAAUACCCAAUUCGGAUUGAAAACUUAGCUAUGAUACCAUAAAUGUUGAGGAUGAAGGAAUAAGGAAAUGAUAAAAACAGAAUACUAUGAUAUAAUUAAAAAAAAUAUUUUGAUCAAGAAAAUCGUUGUAGUAUUUAAAUAAGAUAUAAGAUAUGAACACUUACAAGAUAUUCUCAAGUGCACACUCUUUAUCUUAUUUCAUGAAUUAAGGUCUUAUUUAUAGGACAUAGUGGUAACUACCUCACUCCAUCAUGUCACCCGUGAUUGAAUUAGGUGUAGAAACUACCUUAUAAUUUUUAGAUCAUGGGUCAUUAUUUAAAAUAUGUCCACAACUAUUUAAAACAUGAUAACUAUCUAGAUAACUACUAUGAAUCAUUAAUUUUACGUUACUGUUUUCUUCGAGCGGAAGUGCUUCUAAAUGUGCUCGUGCAAUUGAUUAUCUUCUCAAUCGAUCUUGGUGUGCCAUUCGAUCAAACUCACGGUAUGGUGUUCGUGAACAAACGUUGAAGAUCAUGGAAGGAGUUUUUUUUUUGCUUGCUUGACGUAAUUGUGUGGAGAGAAACACACGAGGCAAGGGAAGUCCCUGUGUGGCCGGAGAAGGCAACGGAAGAUCAAGUGCAAGACAACCGAUGGCUUGGCUUUUUCUUCCCUGUAAAGGUGGAAGACGAGAUGGAUAGAUGAUCUAAUAUUAUAUUGCAUUGUUGAGGGUAUCCAAUCAUUGUACAUCUGUCCGUAGCCGUAGGAGUGUCCUAAAAAAGCAAUAACAGCUUGUUACUAAGACAUGUUUUAUAAACAAUCAAAACAAUUAAAUAUUACACGCAUUAUAUUAAGGCCGGCAGAAAAUGACUACUACUUUUCGAUACUCUCUUGUGUUGUGCUUACGUGAUUAUAGUAUGAUAUGAGACUGACAUAUGACCAACACUUCAGUAACGUACGACCUACACCUCAACCGGAGGAUCUCAUCCAAGCAAUGCAUAGUAGGCACUUUGACACUCAACGGUAGGAAUCUAAAGCUCUUCAACCCCUAAUGUAUGGAAUUUGAGGUGACUUCGUAAUUUUCUUUUACAAAUUUUAAUAAAUAUAUAUUUCUCUCUAAAUAUUAUUAUCAUUCAAAUAAAUCCUUCACAUUAACGUUCUUUAAAAAGAAACCAAGAUAACCACAAUAAUCAUGGUUUUCUUCAAUUGACCAUUUGACUUCAAACCAAUUUUUAACAUAAAAUAUUUUAUAUAUCUUACUAUCUUAAUAAGGCUUGUAAAAUGUAUCAAUGUCGCUCUAAUGGUGAAAUAACAGACAUGGAGAAUAAUUUUACAGUCUCCAUAUAUAAAUAAAAAAAUCACUCUAUGUAUAAGAACACACAAAGGUAUAAUUACACUAAAAACAAUACAAUUAUCGAUGCCCCUCGCAAAAAUAUUUUAUAUCGGUUGUAUUUAAUCGGCUCACGUCGAUCAAGGUUUGUGUUUUGUCGUUAAAUCAAUCAAGUUGUCCAUUUGAUAUCAUUCAUUUACGUGCAUUUGUCCAUCAAAUAAUAAUAGUUGGACCAUGAGUUGGCUAUCUUAUCUUCCUGCCCAUCAAAACCCUUCCAUGAUGUGGCAUCGAAUAAACUUACGAUUAAAACAUGAUGAAUCAACCCUUACAAUUUAUAACAAAUAAUUGGACCGAUUCUUCCAAAUUUUAUAGUCCCAUCGUGAGGGAUGCAUGACCAAACAACCUCGCCCACAGCAUUUGACGCAGCCAUCACUAACCUUAUCGCUUUUAAAUGCAUAGUAUGGUAAAAAUAAUGAUAAUAAACUCGCGUCACAAGUUGAUAUUUUUAUUGGUUUUAGUCAAUUUCCACUUGAAGCACGUGAAUGACGUAAAUGACAUUACAGUUCGCAUUGCGUACGCAUCUAACUCUUUUGACUGGAAGCUCCUCCAAUUGCAUGUCCAUGAAUCAGAUAUGGAUGAUAUGGUACCACUUUUCCAUUGUCUUCCCACGCACAUCAUCCACGGUUUCCACACAGACUAGUAGAAGUAAAAUUGCCAACUCAUCUACCUCCAUCUAUCAAUAUAUUAUAUAAUCUCGUUCUUGCAUCGCGUGUUCUGCGACCAUCAACCGGAGACAUUAACAAUUAUGAGCCAUUCCAACACGUCUAAGUACACGUCAGAUUCAUCGGGAUGGCAUAAUCUCUUGAUAAGUCAAUGGGCUUUACCUCCCUUAUUUUAUCUGAAUUUUUUUCUGACUGUGUAAACAAAUUCACCUAUAUAUACAGACAUGCCCGGAUCAACUCUGGACAACCAUCAUGGCCGCCACCCACAUUGCCCUGUUCGUUUCCGGCCUUGCCGUCUUGCUUCUCCUCGUCCAAGGAUCGCCGCCAGGGCCUGUUGUCCAGUGCCGGUCUGGCAACACUAACUGCACCGUGACCAACGGCUAUGGAGCCUUUCCUGAUCGCAGUACCUGCCGCGUCGCCGCGGUCGCGUACCCUUCGAACGAACAGGAGCUCCUGUUAGCUGUCUCCGACGCCACCGUGAAGCAGCAGCACGUGAAGGCGGUCACGGUGUACUCACACAGCAUCCCCAAGCUGUCGUGCCCCGGCGGGCCGAGCGGCCAGGGC